Molecule: ribosomal RNA, 253 nt
Filed under: uncultured bacterium
Lineage: Bacteria
Description: partial 16S ribosomal RNA
Rfam family: Bacterial small subunit ribosomal RNA
Source: RNAcentral
UACGUAGGGGGCUAGCGUUGUCCGGAAUCAUUGGGCGUAAAGCGCGCGUAGGCGGCCAGAUAAGUCCGGUGUGAAAGUCAAAGGCUCAACCUUUGAAUGCCGCUGGAAACUGUCUGGCUAGAGUCCGGAAGGGGCGAGUGGAACUCCUGGUGUAGCGGUGAAAUGCGCAGAUAUCAGGAGGAACACCAAUAGCGAAGGCAGCUCGCUGGGACGGUACUGACGCUGAGGCGCGAAAGCGUGGGGAGCGAACAGG